AAGAAAAGCGAGUAAACAUAACUGAUUUUUACAAAUUUGUUGAAUUUACUUAAUUACACUGUGUUAUGUGAACUUUCAGGUGGAUGCAAUAGUUAAACUAAACAACUUUAGUAAACAGUACUUAAGAGCAUCUAGUUUGUUGGAUUAAAUCCCACUAUGUGCCCUAAUAACUCUAGACCAGUAGGUGGCGGAAGUGCACUAGUAGGUGGCGGAAGGUUGGUUUAAACAAAACAUCACCAGAAGAAGACAACGAACUGAACUUCAGAGUCAGAUCGUGUUUGAAAUGUGGCAGCAAGAUUAGACAUCUAACAUCAAUGGGCGAUGAACAGCAGUUCUCCACGGCCUUCCACUCUUCCUUGAAAAGGACCUUACUGAUUUUUACAAGACAUGUUUUGACUAUGAUGAAGAAGAGAUGUCAGUCGGCCUAUUGACCGUGAUCCCUGAGCGGAGGACUCUAGAGCCAUGCCCAACUCACUGCAUUUAAUGCCAUGUCUACUGCAAUAAUUUUGGAAGGUACAAUUGUAUUGGAUGAUCUGGAAAAUCCUCCCCAAGAUAUGCCUGCUCUUUGGACUUGGAUUUAUGCUAUGAAAUUAUAGUAUCCUCCAGUACUGAAGGACACCUUUGAUUUCAUUCAAUGGCUGAACCUAGAAUGCAAUCUCUGAAAAAUCUUCUGAUGUAGAAAGAUGUCAUUG
Sinocyclocheilus rhinocerous is the source of this 692-nucleotide long non-coding RNA. RefSeq lists it as uncharacterized. The transcript has 3 exons. The record is from RefSeq and is a predicted model, not a curated record. NCBI's taxonomy places the organism in Eukaryota, Metazoa, Chordata, Actinopteri, Cypriniformes, Cyprinidae.